UACGGAGGGAGCUAGCGUUGUUCGGGAUUACUGGGCGUAAAGCGCGCGUAGGCGGCUUUGUAAGUUAGAGGUGAAAGCCCGGAGCUCAACUCCGGAACUGCCUUUAAAACUGCAUCGCUUGAAUCCAGGAGAGGUGAGUGGAAUUCCCGGUGUAGAGGUGAAAUUCGUAGAUAUCGGGAGGAACACCAGUGGCGAAGGCGGCGACCUGGGCCAAUAUUGACGCUGAGGUGCGAAAACGUGGGGAGCAAACAGG
RNAcentral lists this ribosomal RNA (253 nucleotides) under uncultured bacterium. RNAcentral's name for it is "partial 16S ribosomal RNA". It matches the Rfam family "Bacterial small subunit ribosomal RNA", at positions 524 to 776 of the family's 1533-position model. The record is from RNAcentral.